GCUGCUGUGGCUCAGUCGGUAGAGCACUUCCUUGGUAAGGAAGAGGUCAUGAGUUCGAUUCUCAUCAGCAGCUCCA
This 76-nucleotide transfer RNA is filed under the name Planctomycetota bacterium. RNAcentral describes it as "tRNA-Thr". It matches the Rfam family "tRNA". Rfam says of the family: Transfer RNA (tRNA) molecules are approximately 80 nucleotides in length. Their secondary structure includes four short double-helical elements and three loops (D, anti-codon, and T loops). RNAcentral also lists the same sequence under 1 other name. Lineage: Bacteria; Pseudomonadati; Planctomycetota. The record is from RNAcentral.